UGGUAACUACCCUGUUGCAGAACCAAAGCCAAGAAAACCUGCAGAAACAGGGCAAGUUAUCUGAGCAUACCAACACAGACCUACAAUCCAAAGAACAGUUCAAUUCAAAUCAAUGAGUUUCAAAACAAUAAGCAGUUCAGGAAGUUAAGGGAUCCAAACCAGUUUGGUUCAAUGCAAAUAUCCACUGUUGGGACUUCAGUGAAUAAGUCAAGGAGUGAAGCCUGACAUUCAAUUUUCUGAAUCCCACGUGACUUAAUUCAUGAUGUAAAAACUCACCUUCUCAUUCACUUAAAAUGCCAGAUGGAUGAUUCAGAUUUAACCAUUCAGACUUAAUUCUCCAAUUUUCCCUUGGAUCAAGCUUAUAUAAGAGGCAAUCAUUGCCAAUCAUUGGGGUUCAGACUUUUUUCCCUCAUUCCAAAAGCAUCGUGCAAUCGCUUCCCUCCCAUCUUCAGUACACGCUUUUUUUUUCUUUCUCCAUUAUUGUGAGAGCUUCAUCACUCGAAGCUCUACACGGC
This 515-nucleotide long non-coding RNA is filed under the name Lathyrus oleraceus (garden pea). RNAcentral describes it as "Pisum sativum (pea) long non-coding RNA (PSAT_LNC032504)". The record is from RNAcentral. Lineage: Eukaryota; Viridiplantae; Streptophyta; Magnoliopsida; Fabales; Fabaceae.